GAUGAACGCUGGCGGCGUGCCUAAUACAUGCAAGUCGAGCGAACAGACGAGGAGCUUGCUCCUCUGACGUUAGCGGCGGACGGGUGAGUAACACGUGGAUAACCUACCUAUAAGACUGGGAUAACUUCGGGAAACCGGAGCUAAUACCGGAUAAUAUAUUGAACCGCAUGGUUCAAUAGUGAAAGACGGUUUUGCUGUCACUUAUAGAUGGAUCCGCGCCGCAUUAGCUAGUUGGUAAGGUAACGGCUUACCAAGGCAACGAUGCGUAGCCGACCUGAGAGGGUGAUCGGCGGCACUGGAACGGAGCCACGGUCCAGACUCCUACGGGAGGCAGCAGUAGGGAAUCUUCCGCAAUGGGCGAAAGCUUGACGGAGCAACGCCGCGUGAGUGAUGAAGGUCUUCGGAUCGUAAAACUCUGUUAUUAGGGAAGAACAAAUGUGUAAGUAACUAUGCACGUCUUGACGGUACCUAAUCAGAAAGCCACGGCUAACUACGUG
This 497-nucleotide ribosomal RNA is filed under the name uncultured bacterium. RNAcentral describes it as "partial 16S ribosomal RNA". It matches the Rfam family "Bacterial small subunit ribosomal RNA", at positions 28 to 507 of the family's 1533-position model. The record is from RNAcentral.